RNAcentral lists this ribosomal RNA (450 nucleotides) under Triticum aestivum (bread wheat). Its description in RNAcentral is "partial small subunit ribosomal RNA". The record is from RNAcentral. Lineage: Eukaryota; Viridiplantae; Streptophyta; Magnoliopsida; Poales; Poaceae.
CGGCAGGCUAGGCAGGCUCCAAGAUGGGUACCACCCCCGGAGGGUUUUGUGAAGAUCUAUGUAGACGUUGGAGUAUCGGAGGGAACAAACACUGGAACAGCGGCAGCCUUAUGUCGUGAUCGGGAUGGAAAUUAUUUGGGUUCCUCCAUGCUGGUAACUGAGGGGUUGACGGACCCAACUUCACUAGAGGCAAUAGCAUGCAGAGAAGGCAUGGCGUUGGCACUGGACCUGGGAACGAAUCAUAUACAGAUUGCUUCUCACUGUAAGCAGGAGAUCAAGCACAGGAGGCGUUCGAUCCAAGAUAUUCAGUUUGUGCACGAGAAUAGAAAACAAAAUGAGGAAGCUCAUGCCUUAGCUAAGGCGGCUGCUUCUCUCCCUCCCGGGAGACAUGUGUGGCUUGCUACUCUGUCCGAUAUUAUCUGUAUCCCUAUGUGUCCGAACUUUCAAUAA